Astatotilapia calliptera (eastern happy) is the source of this 1328-nucleotide long non-coding RNA. NCBI's taxonomy places the organism in Eukaryota, Metazoa, Chordata, Actinopteri, Cichliformes, Cichlidae. The record is from Ensembl.
AAUUCUCUGCCCUCUCCUUCUCAGUAUCCUCCCACCACCCCAGCUCACCCCACGGUACUCUUUUUCCUUUGUCUCUCUGGCUUCUUUGUCAGUGAGGCGUGCUUCUUGCUCGCUGUAAUAAUAAGGCUUUCAAUAGGCUGGUGGCGGUACCGCUCCGGCUAGUCCUUAUGAGCGGCCCAUGGUUCCACAAAGACCACUUGUUGACGCCAGGUGAGACAGAGAGAGCAACAGAGACGAGGGAGAAAACGGUGAGAUAGAUAGUCAGGGGUGGGUCUCUGCUAGGCAAACAAAGCCUUGGCUAUUUCAAGGUUGUCAUGUGUCAUGCUGUCCAUGGGCCCGUCUACACACGGCUGUUUUGCAGAAGCUUGGCCAAAAAUAUCUUGGACCCUAAAUGUCAAUCAAAGCCGUAUUAAGUGGCUCGUGGCUGAGAGAAGAUAGUGUACUUCAUUUUGAACAUGGGUAAUUAAUAAUGAUUGUCCAUCCAUCCAUCCAUCUUCAUCCGCUUUAUCCAAGGCCGGGUCGCGGGGGCAGCAGCCUAAGCAAAUGAUUGUCUCUUUCGUUAUUUAUCUUGAUCUCUUCUUUUAUUUUCUGCUUUUUUUUUUCUUCACAAUUUUGACUCAUUUUCACUCUAUCUGAAUCUAUUUUGCAUUUAUUUGUCCCUGAGGAGAUGGUAAUGUAAGCAUUAUGCCUCAGGCCACAAAACAAGUCAGAAACAAAACCAACCAGCAUUUGUGUACUUUUGUUGUCCUCAUAUUUUUGAUGUGUUACACCUAGAAUGAUUUAGAUAUCACUUGAGGUUCUUUUCAGAGAUUAAUCUCAUUAUAAGCUUUUUUUUCUCUUUUUUUGUUUGGUUUUGUACCACUUUCCUCUGUCCAGAAUGUGCAGACAGAAGAGAUGCUCAAACCUCCCUUUCCCCAGCCACUGCCUCUAGCUCUUCCACGGGGAUACAGAGGUAUUCCCAGGCAAGCCAAGAAACAUAACCUCUCCAGCGUGUCGUGGGUCUGCCCUGGGGUCUCCUCCCGGAUGGACAUGUUGAAACACCUCACCUAUGAGGUGUACAGGAAGCAUCCUGGUCAAAUGCCAAUAACUUCAGCUGUGGAAGCUCUACUCUGAGUAUGUCCUGAAUGUCUGAGGCUAUCACCACCAUUUGGAAAUAACCUUUUUCAGCGUCUUGUACCCAUAACCUUAUUGUUUCGGUCACCACUCAAAGUUCAUGACCAUAGAUGAGGAAGGAUGUGGGUUGUUUCACUUUACAGCAGUGAAAAACAGGUUUUGUUAGGUGAUGACUGGACACAGAGUUCUGUAACGCGAUAAAUUAGUGAUAUCAA